This 72-nucleotide transfer RNA is filed under the name Camelus bactrianus (Bactrian camel). It matches the Rfam family "tRNA". Rfam says of the family: Transfer RNA (tRNA) molecules are approximately 80 nucleotides in length. Their secondary structure includes four short double-helical elements and three loops (D, anti-codon, and T loops). Lineage: Eukaryota; Metazoa; Chordata; Mammalia; Artiodactyla; Camelidae. The record is from Rfam by way of RNAcentral. RNAcentral also lists the same sequence under 2 other names.
GAGGAUAUAGCUCAGUGGUAGAGUGUGUGCUUAGCGUGCACAAGGUCCUGGAUUCAAUCCCCAGUACCUCCA